RNAcentral lists this long non-coding RNA (4352 nucleotides) under Solanum lycopersicum (tomato). RNAcentral's name for it is "partial TCONS_00190474". Lineage: Eukaryota; Viridiplantae; Streptophyta; Magnoliopsida; Solanales; Solanaceae. The record is from RNAcentral.
GAAAAACUCAAAAUAAACUGAAUAAUUUUUAAUCUCUUUCUGCAACAGUGAGUGAAUGUGUGUGUUUUUGUAGGUGAAAGAUCAGACAUGGCAUAAUUGUAUAAAAUUACAAACAAGCUACAUAAAGCCCAAAGAUCCCUUAUUCUGCUACUUUGAUAAUCUUGCACACUAUUUUCUUGAAUUUUUGAUGUCUAUAUCCAUUGAAGGGAACUCUGAUAAGAGCUGUGUUUCAUCAAUGGACAGUAAAGAUUUGAACUUUAAGGCAACUGAACUUAGACUAGGCUUGCCUGGUUCUGAAUCACCACCAGAUAAGAAUGAUUACCCACUUGGGGUUUUGAAAAUUUUCCCUUCUGGAGCUAAAAGGGGUUUUUCUGAUACCAUAAAUGGUGAUUCUGGGAGAUGGGGUUUUGGAUCUGAAGUUGAUUUUGUUAAAAACAGUAGCUUUAUUGUUUCUCCAAAGGGUGUAAAAGUUGGAAAUAAGAUUCUUGGUUCUGUUUGCAAUGAGAGUAGCUCUGUGAAAGAGGGAACUCCAAAAUCACCUAGACCAGUGGAAGAGAAAAAGGCCUUGAUUUGUAGUACUAAUAGUCAUGGGGUUGCUCCAGCUGCAAAGUAAAUCUUUCAAAACUUGCCCUUAAUAAGUACUUAGAUAAGCUCUUUUUUGGCUAUAUUAGGAAGUUAAAGUUGAAAAGUUGAGUUUUUUAUGUUGUGUUGCUACAUGCAUUUUACUUGGAAAAAAAUUGAUGUAUUGUUAGUGGAAGUCCCAAAUAUCCAAAAUUUUGGUAUGGCCAAAUGCUAGCUUAGAUUCAUAGUAUGAUGCAAGGUGUUUUUCUCUGUCUCUUUUCCUUAGAAUACAUGUAUUGGCUCCAUGUCCUCACUGGAGAAAUAGUUUUUCAGUUGAUUAAUAGCACUUUUGAGGAUUGUGUACAGAAAUUUCUUUUGUUUUAUUUGCUCAACAUUCAACCAUCACAGUUUUGUUCUUGUAGAAUUCUAUGAUUUUUUUUCUGUAUUGUUAGAAUUUUCCUGAAUUGACUAGCUUUAUGGUGAUUUUCAGUCUAAUGCAACCCUCUAGUACUUUAUGUUUCUUCAUCUGUAUGGAUCUUGUUCAUCCAUCCUGUGCUGUCAUUAGCUAAAUCUGCAUAUUAUUAGUCAUGAUAAUUCAUAUAGCUGACCCCAAACUUGUUUGGGGCUGCGGUGUAGUUGAUGUUUUUCUUUUGGCAUUAUAUUGGUCAUAGACGAGCUUAAAAUGGAACGACAUGGUUAAUGACUCUAGAUAGGAAGGUAUGGAGGUCGAUGAUUUGGGGUGGACAGGUAGCGGGUAACAGGCAGCUGAGUGUGUCGUACUAUAUGUAGGAGAGGAGCCCUCUGCCUAUCUUUCUACUUAUUUAGUGUCAGUUAGUAUUCACAUAGUAUCAUAUUCUUUAAUUUUAGUACUACAUGUUGCUUCUUUUGCUUUGUUCGUGUUGGUCUUCAUGUUGUUGUUGUUGUUGACAUGGUUCGUGACUAUUCAUUUAGUUGAUCCCAACUUUCUGGCGGUUGAGAUAUUGAUGUUAUUUGUAAUCCUAUAAUUUAUAGUAGUCAUGGCUUUGAUUGAAUAUCUGAUAAAUUGGUUGUACUGUCAUCUCUUUUUUCUGUUUGAUUACUUGUAGUUCCCCCUCCCUCCUUACCAACUUGGCUUCUAAGUUGCGUGGACUCUUCACUUUCGACGGAUUCUAACAACAAUACUCUACUUUUGGAGAAUCUGACACACACCCGUUAACAUUUUUGAAGAGCCCGAGCAACAUAACUUGGCUUAAUCUUUUCUUUGCUCUUGCAUCUAGCUGUUCAGUUUUGACCUGUAAAGUUCUAGAAUCAAGAUAAUUAGAACCAGGAAUGAAUUGAAGCUCCUUUUAUUAUUUGGUCAGGGCACAAGUAGUAGGAUGGCCACCAAUUAGAUCUUUUCGGAAGAAUAUGGUUAGUAAUCCUCCAAAGACUGAGGAAGAUGCAAAUGGUAAGCUAGUAGCAGGUUGUCAUUAUGUCAAAGUCAGCAUGGAUGGUGCUCCGUACCUGAGGAAGGUUGAUCUUACUAUGUACAACAGCUAUAAGGAUCUAUCUUCAGCACUAGAGAAAAUGUUCCGUUGCUUCAAGGCUGGUAAUUCUUGGUUUUAUGGUUGUUAUUACUUUUACCAUUGAAGGCAUCCCCAUGAACGCUUCAUGCGGUUGUUCUUUUCGACUCUGAAAUCAAUUUCAGUUCUGCACUUUGUACUGAAGUUACUAUCUUCUAGAGGAGUAAUUGUUAUAUGGUGUCACUGAAAUGACCUUGAAAAGCUCAAAUCGAUACCUUUUGUUGUUCAAAGUUGAAAUUAUAUUUGUCUUAGUUCUCCGAAAUUUCAAUAUUCUUUAUCUUGAUCAAGGAUUUUUGCCCUUAAAAGCAGCUACAUGCUGCUCGAGUCGGGAUGUGUUGGUCGUUAGUUACUUGCAAAUCUUAAAAAGCUUCUCUUUUAUAGCCCAAGGAAAGAUAAGGUAUUUAAACAAGGUGUAAGCUAUGUUGUUCGGACUCUCCAAAGAUGUUGCUGCAGCCGUGUCGGAUCUUCCAAAUACGUACUACUUUUUGAGGAUCCAGUACACACCCAGUGUCAUUUUUGGAGAGUCGGAGCAACAUAGGAUGUAAGAAAAUGUUUAAGUAAAACUAUUAUCAUUCAUAUAUGUAGUUUUGAUUGAACGAGUAGUAUCACAUUGAUAUAGAAACCGAGUUCCUAACUACAUCUUUCGAACAUGCUUUACGUUUUCUUCCUCUAAGAGCCUAUUAAUUUUGAGUUUCAUCUAUAAUUUAUUUAGGCCAAUGUGAAACUCAAGGCAUUUCUCUAAGUGAUGGACUUAAAGAAAGCAAAUUGGCGGAUCUUCUACAUGGAUCUGAAUACGCUCUUACUUAUGAAGACAAGGACGGUGAUUGGAUGCUUGUCGGUGAUGUCCCAUGGGAGUAAGUCUUACAUCUUAACUUAAACUUUUAAAAACAUUCCGAAAAAAUUUCUUAAAGCUCACAAACAGGUUAGUUUGUUUGAGCUCUAAUGCUGUAAAUAUGAUUUCAAACCUGUCUUGACGAUAGAGGACUGGUGUAAAGUGUAAACGCCUGUUCACACUACAAUAUAUACUUUGCCUCACAAGCUUCAAAAUUUGCUGUCAAAGUUAAACUUAUAUUUUGCUGUUCAUGAAGAUCCCACCAGACGCCUUUUACGUUUGACAGGCCUUGAACUAGAUUAGAAUCAUUGUGAACGAAUCUUAUGAUAUUUAUGCAAGAGAGUUUAAUUGAUCAUUCCCGUAAGUUGAACAUCACUCAUUUUUACUAUGUAAUUCCUACUCGUCGUUUUUUUUUUCUGUAUGUUUAUAGGAUGUUCACAGAAUCCUGCAAGAAGCUGAGGAUCAUGAAGAGUUCAGAUGCAAAUGGUCUAGCUCCAAGAGCCGCGGAGAAGUGCAAAGAUCGUUAGAAUCUGCAGUACUUUCGCUGCAAACAUUCAAUCAAUUCUCUAUAAGCAAUGAGAAGUCGAAAUUCACAUGUUUCUUCCUAUUCAUGUUAAGGUAGAUCACCAAAUCUGUGGAUUUGAAGAUCGACGCCAGGAUUUCGAGUGUUUCUGUCUUGGAAAUCUUUAGUAUAACUAUUUGUGUUACAUAUAUAUUCAUAAUAUAUGCAAAAGUAUUCCAAUUUAUAGCCAUAGUAGUAUGUUGUUCUUUUUUUUUCUGUAUUGUUACUGCUUGAGUCUCCAAGGCUUGUGAAAGAAAAUGUAAAUGGUCUCACUUUUGUUUAUAAAAGUUUCUUUGUAUGUGCAUCUCGAUUAAAGAGGCCCUGGUGAACCGUCAUAAUUAGUGAACGAGUGUAAGCUUCGCUGCCCGACAGUAUGGAGUUCCAAUCGAUCUCCUCCAACAGACAAUAGAGGGCUCUGACCUGACCACAGUCAAUCAGUCUAUUGUUCUGGUUCUAUAGAGUCUUUGUUGUUCAGCAUCUUGAACUAGCCAUCCCUAACCAGUUGAACCGUUCUCUUAUAGAACGGGUAAGCCACAAAAGAAUGUUCCUUGCUUCCAGCUAUCCUCAUGAGUCAUUUUUGCUGUAAUCUGUCUCUCGAUAAGAAGUCCCACCAGCACUGAUACCGAUAUUUUUGAUAUGUUUUUGUGGUUGUAAUAUAUCAAGUCUCGCUUGUGAAUAAUUAAAUAUACACCUACAAAUUUUGUCGAUCUUUCUAAAUAACUUAUCAAGAUAGAUAUAAUGAAGAUGGUAUUAAUGUUAUACCCCGUGGACGUAAGACCUAAUUUAAUUUGAUAGGUCCCAGUAAAAUCCAUAUCUUUAGCCCACUGAAGAAAGCCCAAAAACUCUAAAACUCAAU